This 497-nucleotide ribosomal RNA is filed under the name uncultured bacterium. RNAcentral's name for it is "partial 16S ribosomal RNA". It matches the Rfam family "Bacterial small subunit ribosomal RNA", at positions 28 to 507 of the family's 1533-position model. The record is from RNAcentral.
GAUGAACGCAGGCGGCGUGUCUAAUACAUGCAAGUCGAGCGAACGGACGAGAAGCUUGCUUCUCUGAUGUUAGCGGCGGACGGGUGAGUAACACGUGGAUAACCUACCUAUAAGACUGGGAUAACUUCGGGAAACCGGAGCUAAUACCGGAUAAUAUUUUGAACCGCAUGGUUCAAAAGUGAAAGACGGUCUUGCUGUCACUUAUAGAUGGAUCCGCGCUGCAUUAGCUAGUUGGUAAGGUAACGGCUUACCAAGGCAACGAUGCAUAGCCGACCUGAGAGGGUGAUCGGCCACACUGGAACUGAGACACGGUCCAGACUCCUACGGGAGGCAGCAGUAGGGAAUCUUCCGCAAUGGGCGAAAGCCUGACGGAUCAACGCCGCGUGAGUGAUGAAGGUCUUCGGAUCGUAAAACUCUGUUAUUAGGGAAGAACAUAUGUGUAAGUAACUGUGCACAUCUUGACGGUACCUAAUCAGAAAGCCACGGCUAACUACGUG